GGAGGAGUGGCCGAGUGGUCGAAGGCGGCGGUCUUGAAAACCGUUGGGUCGAAAGGCCCCGGGGGUUCGAAUCCCUCCUCCUCCG
RNAcentral lists this transfer RNA (85 nucleotides) under Sandaracinaceae bacterium. RNAcentral describes it as "tRNA-Ser". It matches the Rfam family "tRNA". From Rfam's summary of the family: Transfer RNA (tRNA) molecules are approximately 80 nucleotides in length. Their secondary structure includes four short double-helical elements and three loops (D, anti-codon, and T loops). The record is from RNAcentral. Lineage: Bacteria; Pseudomonadati; Myxococcota; Polyangiales; Sandaracinaceae.